Molecule: ribosomal RNA, 508 nt
Filed under: uncultured bacterium
Lineage: Bacteria
Description: partial 16S ribosomal RNA
Rfam family: Bacterial small subunit ribosomal RNA (bases 15-371)
Source: RNAcentral
GACGAACGCUGGCGGCGUGCUUAACACAUGCAAGUCGAACGGAAAGGCCCUGCUUUUGUGGGGUGCUCGAGUGGCGAACGGGUGAGUAACACGUGAGUAACCUGCCCUUGACUUUGGGAUAACUUCAGGAAACUGGGGCUAAUACCGGAUAGGAGCUCCUGCUGCAUGGUGGGGGUUGGAAAGUUUCGGCGGUUGGGGAUGGACUCGCGGCUUAUCAGCUUGUUGGUGGGGUAGUGGCUUACCAAGGCUUUGACGGGUAGCCGGCCUGAGAGGGUGACCGGCGACGUGGGGACGAAGGCACGCCCCGGAGUCGAAGGGGAGGGAGCAGGGGGGAAUAUGGCACAAGGGGCGGAGGCCGGACGCAGCGAGGCGGGGGGGGGGAUGACGGCUGCGGGGUUGUAGACCGCGUGCGCCGGUGAGGGAGCGGGAGUGAGGGAAAGGGGAAAAGAAGCACCGGAAAACUACGUGCCAGACGACGGGGUAAGAGGCGGAAGCGCACAGGUACAAC